RNAcentral lists this ribosomal RNA (497 nucleotides) under uncultured bacterium. RNAcentral's name for it is "partial 16S ribosomal RNA". It matches the Rfam family "Bacterial small subunit ribosomal RNA", at positions 28 to 507 of the family's 1533-position model. The record is from RNAcentral.
GAUGAACGCUGGCGGCGUGCCUAAUACAUGCAAGUCGAGCGAACAGACGAGGAGCUUGCUCCUCUGACGUUAGCGGCGGACGGGUGAGUAACACGUGGAUAACCUACCUAUAAGACUGGGAUAACUUCGGGAAACCGGAGCUAAUACCGGAUAAUAUAUUGAACCGCAUGGUUCAAUAGUGAAAGACGGUUUUGCUGUCACUUAUAGAUGGAUCCGCGCCGCAUUAGCUAGUUGGUAAGGUAACGGCUUACCAAGGCAACGAUGCGUAGCCGACCUGAGAGGGUGAUCGGCCACACUGCAACUGAGACACGGUCCAGACUCCUACGGGAGGCAGCAGUAGGGAAUCUUCCGCAAUGGGCGAAAGCCUGACGGAGCAACGCCGCGUGAGUGAUGAAGGUCUUCGGAUCGUAAAACUCUGUUAUUAGGGAAGAACAAAUGUGUAAGUAACUAUGCACGUCUUGACGGUACCUAAUCAGAAAGCCACGGCUAACUACGUG